This 408-nucleotide ribosomal RNA is filed under the name uncultured bacterium. RNAcentral describes it as "bacterial SSU rRNA". It matches the Rfam family "Bacterial small subunit ribosomal RNA", at positions 30 to 435 of the family's 1533-position model. The record is from RNAcentral.
AUUGAACGCUGGCGGCAGGCCUAACACAUGCAAGUCGAAUGGUAACAGGAAACAGCUUGCUGUUUCGCUGACGAGUGGCGGACGGGUGAGUAAUGUCUGGGAAACUGCCUGAUGGAGGGGGAUAACUACUGGAAACGGUAGCUAAUACCGCAUAACGUCGCAAGACCAAAGAGGGGGGACCUUCGGGCCUCUUGCCAUCAGAUGUGCCCAGAUGGGAUUAGCUAGUAGGUGGGGUAACGGCUCACCUAGGCGACGAUCCCUAGCUGGUCUGAGAGGAUGACCAGCCACACUGGAACUGAGACACGGUCCAGACUCCUACGGAGGCAGCAGUGGGGAAUAUUGCACAAUGGGCGCAAGCCUGAUGCAGCCAUGCCGCGUGUAUGAAGAAGGCCUCGGUUGUAAGUACUU